GUGAAGAACGUAGCGAAAUGCGAUAAGUAGUGUGAAUUGCAGAAUUCAGUGAAUCAUCGAAUCUUUGAACGCACAUUGCGCCCCUUGGUAUUCCAUGGGGCAUGCCUGUUCGAGCGUCAUUUGUACCUUCAAGCUUUGCUUGGUGUUGGGUGUUUGUCCUGAGGGACUCGCCUUAAAGUAAUUGGCAGCCAGUGUUUUGGUUUUGAAGCGCAGCACAAGUCGCGAUUCAAAGCUAUACGCCAGCUUCCACAAGCCUUUUUCACUUUUGACCUCGGAUCAGGUAGGGAUACCCGCUGAACUUAAGCAUAUCAAUAAGCGGAGGA
RNAcentral lists this unclassified non-coding RNA (323 nucleotides) under soil metagenome. RNAcentral describes it as "partial contains 5.8S ribosomal RNA, internal transcribed spacer 2, and large subunit ribosomal RNA". The stretch from base 2 to 119 matches the Rfam family "5.8S ribosomal RNA", at positions 37 to 154 of the family's 154-position model. The record is from RNAcentral.